Molecule: ribosomal RNA, 755 nt
Filed under: Shewanella basaltis
Lineage: Bacteria; Pseudomonadati; Pseudomonadota; Gammaproteobacteria; Alteromonadales; Shewanellaceae
Description: bacterial SSU rRNA
Rfam family: Bacterial small subunit ribosomal RNA
Source: RNAcentral
GGCGGACGGGUGAGUAAUGCCUAGGGAUCUGCCCAGUCGAGGGGGAUAACAGUUGGAAACGACUGCUAAUACCGCAUACGCCCUACGGGGGAAAGGAGGGGACCUUCGGGCCUUUCGCGAUUGGAUGAACCUAGGUGGGAUUAGCUAGUUGGUGAGGUAAUGGCUCACCAAGGCGACGAUCCCUAGCUGUUCUGAGAGGAUGAUCAGCCACACUGGGACUGAGACACGGCCCAGACUCCUACGGGAGGCAGCAGUGGGGAAUAUUGCACAAUGGGCGAAAGCCUGAUGCAGCCAUGCCGCGUGUGUGAAGAAGGCCUUCGGGUUGUAAAGCACUUUCAGUAGGGAGGAAAGGGUAUUGCUUAAUACGCAAUAUCUGUGACGUUACCUACAGAAGAAAGACCGGCUAACUCCGUGCCAGCAGCCGCGGUAAUACGGAGGGUCCGAGCGUUAAUCGGAAUUACUGGGCGUAAAGCGUGCGCACGCGGUUUGUUAAGCCAGAUGUGAAAUCCCCGGGCUCAACCUGGGAAUUGCAUUUGGAACUGGCGAACUAUAGUCUUGUAGAGGGGGGUAGAAUUCCAGGUGUAGCGGUGAAAUGCGUAGAGAUCUGGAGGAAUACCGGUGGCGAAAGCGGCCCCCUGGACAAAGACUGACGCUCAUGCACGAAAGCGUGUGGAGCAAACAGGAUUAGAUACCCUGGUAGUCCACGCCGUAAACGAUGUCUACUCGGAGUUUGGUGCCUUGAGCACUGUGCUCUC